AAUAGAUACCCCGGUAGUCCACGCCGUAAACGAUGUCGACUUGGAGGUUGUGCCCUUGAGGCGUGGCUUCCGGAGCUAACGCGUUAAGUCGACCGCCUGGAGAGUACGGCCGCAAGGUUAAAACUCAAAUGAAUUGACGGGGGGCCCGCACAAGCGGUGGAGCAUGUGGUUUAAUUCGAUGCAACGCGAAGAACCUUACCUACUCUUGACAUCCAGAGAACUUAGCAGAGAUGCUUUGGUGCCUUCGGGAACUCUGAGACAGGUGCUGCAUGGCUGUCGUCAGCUCGUGUUGUGAAUGUUGGGUUAAGUCCCGCAACGAGCGCAACCCUUAUCCUUUGUUGCCAGCGGUUAGGCCGGGAACUCAAAGGAGACUGCCAGUGAUAAACUGGAGGAAGGUGGGGAUGACGUCAAGUCAUCAUGGCCCUUACGAGUAGGGCUACACACGUGCUACAAUGGCGCAUACAAAGAGAAGCGACCUCGCGAGAGCAAGCGGACCUCAUAAAGUGCGUCGUAGUCCGGAUUGGAGU
RNAcentral lists this ribosomal RNA (527 nucleotides) under uncultured bacterium. RNAcentral's name for it is "bacterial SSU rRNA". It matches the Rfam family "Bacterial small subunit ribosomal RNA", at positions 777 to 1304 of the family's 1533-position model. The record is from RNAcentral.